AAUUUUCUCCCUCAUUCCCUAACAUUAAUACCUUUUUAAUAUUUUGUAGUCUAAAAUAGACGGAGUAAAAAUUCUUUUAACUUGAAUAGUUGAAAAACCAAUCACGAAAAAAAUACCUUACAAAAGAUUAGCUUAUUAGCUUGCUGUUACAUCCUUUCACAUUUUUGUUUAACCUGUCUUAGCGAUAUGAGGCGCUUGGCUAGCCAUUUGAUACAAUUUUUAACAUUAGAUUUUAUUAGGUGCCGUCAAGCUAUUUACAAUUUGCUAUUAUUUGCAGCACUGCUUCAUUCCCACUUUUACGAAAGUUCGUCUGCCCCGGCGGUGACGUUGCAAAAUUAGCAUAGUGCUUUAUAAAUGUUUUAUCAAUUUUAUUGUUUGGUUGUAAUUUUGUUCGUUCGUGCGAAGUUUUCUGUUGUUUCUCGCUUUCACAAUCGUAGUACCAUGAGUUAAUUCCUAAUCUCUAUGCUGAAAGCAAAGCAUGGAGUGUUUGGCACACCUGCAUUAGUGUCAGGGUGUCAGUCUAUACUAAGAAAGGAUUGGUGGAUGUCAGAAAAUUUGCUUCUGUAGUUCUCUGUUGCCACAGCAACAGGUAUAAGCCUUAGUAAUGCAGUGAGACACCCCUGUCUACGAAGAAUCCAGUUGUGAAGUACAAGUAAAGUGAACUGAAACAUUCAAUGUUCUACUCUGCCGAUGACAUUUCAACUCCGGUUUCAGUAAAAUAUCUGAGUGGAGUGCGAUGGAUGAUAUCAUCGACACCUUUGACCCCAUUUUUAGUGAGUGUGUUAUUAAAUUUGGUUUCCAGCUGCCGCUAUCGUUGCUUGUCCUAAGGAAGUGCCGGGGAAGUGACAAAGAUUGAUGUUGACAGUAUCAAACGAGAUCAUAUUGAGCUCUUGCCAACACCCACUAGGAUUGUGAGAUUAAAGGUGCUGGAAGUGCAAAUAUGAUACUUACUACUACGGACGAUCAAACCAGUUGACUAUUCGCUUGCAGCAGUAUUUCGCAGUUACCUACCAUGUUCAUGAAGGACAAAGUUGAAAAGUAGGUGGAGACAGUCGUCAGGAUGAUUCCGACGACCAGUGUGAUUUUGACCGGUACGGGAUUGGAUUUGUCACCAAGGAUGCGACUUGGAUUGGAACUUCAUUUCGACUUUGGAUGCUGUAAAAAACUGAAGAAGAAAGGCGAGUCAACGAUACUACAGUAGUCAACUUAAUCAUACAGACUGGCAUUUUCAUGGCGGAAGAUGGAUUUGACAUUCGUUUUCUAACCAAUGAGCAACUGGAUGCGUAAAGCUCUCUACCGAAUCAGCGACAUCAUCGGCUUUGAGGAGGUCUUUGUUCGAGAACGAAAUCCACAUUCAACCUAACACGGCUGCCUUUAGAGUAGUUCAACCUACUGCCGACUUUCAACAGUUGACACGGAGGACCUCUCUUGUCAUUGAAACUAUAUUAUGCUUCAAUCUGACGCCGGUUGAGACUGGUUUUGGUCUCACAAUCCACUGUA
Molecule: long non-coding RNA, 1500 nt
Organism: Daphnia pulicaria
Lineage: Eukaryota; Metazoa; Arthropoda; Branchiopoda; Diplostraca; Daphniidae
Exons: 5
Source: RefSeq, a predicted model, not a curated record